RNAcentral lists this ribosomal RNA (441 nucleotides) under uncultured bacterium. Its description in RNAcentral is "partial 16S ribosomal RNA". It matches the Rfam family "Bacterial small subunit ribosomal RNA", at positions 339 to 795 of the family's 1533-position model. The record is from RNAcentral.
CUACGGGUUGCUGCAGUCAAGAAUCUUCCGCAAUGCGCGAAAGCGUGACGGAGCAAUGCCGCGUGCAGGAUUAAGGCCCUCGGGUUGUAAACUGCUUUUCUGUCUGAAGAAUUUGUGACGGUAAGAUAGGAAUAAGAGGUUGCUAACUCCGUGCCAGCAGCAGCGGUAAUACGGAGACCUCAAGCGUUAUCCGGAUUCAUUGGGCGUAACGCGUCCGCAGGUGGUUUGAUAAGUCGAUGGUCAAAACUUUGGGCUCAACCCAAAGAUCGCUAUCGAUACUAUUAAACUAGAGGCUGGGAGAGGCAAGCGGAACUACCGGUGUAGUCGUAAUAAGCGUUGAUAUCGGUAGGAACACCAAAGGCGAAGGCAGCUUGCUGGAACAUGCCUGACACUCAUGGACGAAAGCGUGGGUAGCGAAUGGGAUUAGAUACCCUGGUAGUC